UACGUAGGUGGCAAGCGUUGUCCGGAAUUAUUGGGCGUAAAGCGCGCGCAGGCGGUCCUUUAAGUCUGAUGUGAAAGUCCACGGCUCAACCGUGGAGGGUCAUUGGAAACUGGGGGACUUGAGUGCAGAAGAGGAAAGUGGAAUUCCACGUGUAGCGGUGAAAUGCGUAGAGAUGUGGAGGAACACCAGUGGCGAAGGCGACUUUCUGGUCUGUAACUGACGCUGAGGCGCGAAAGCGUGGGGAGCAAACAGG
RNAcentral lists this ribosomal RNA (253 nucleotides) under uncultured bacterium. RNAcentral's name for it is "partial 16S ribosomal RNA". It matches the Rfam family "Bacterial small subunit ribosomal RNA", at positions 524 to 776 of the family's 1533-position model. The record is from RNAcentral.